CCUACGGGAGGCAGCAGUAGGGAAUAUUGCUCAAUGGGCGAAACCCUGAAGCAGCAACGCCGCGUGGAUGAUGAAGGUUUUCGGAUCGUAAACUCCUUUUGUGAGAGAAGAUAAUGACGGUAUCUCACGAAUAAGCACUGGCUAACUCCGUGCCAGCAGCCGCGGUAAUACGGAGGGUGCAAGCGUUACUCGGAACGACGGGGCGUAAAGUGUGCGCAGGCGGGCUUGUAAGUCAGAUGCGAAAUCCUGUAGCUUAACUACAGAACUGCAUUUGAAACUGGGAGUCUAGAGUGUGGGAGAGGUAGGUGGAAUUCUAGGUGUAGGGGUGAAAUCCGUAGAUAUCAAGAGGAAUACUCAUGGCGAAGGCGACCUACUGGAACAUUACUGACGCUCAUGCACGAAAGCGUGGGGAGCAAACAGGAUUAGAUACCCGUGUAGUC
This 440-nucleotide ribosomal RNA is filed under the name uncultured bacterium. RNAcentral describes it as "partial 16S ribosomal RNA". It matches the Rfam family "Bacterial small subunit ribosomal RNA", at positions 338 to 795 of the family's 1533-position model. The record is from RNAcentral.